This 467-nucleotide ribosomal RNA is filed under the name uncultured bacterium. RNAcentral's name for it is "partial 16S ribosomal RNA". It matches the Rfam family "Bacterial small subunit ribosomal RNA", at positions 28 to 507 of the family's 1533-position model. The record is from RNAcentral.
GACGAACGCUGGCGGCGUGCUUAACACAUGCAAGUCGAACGGAAAGGCCUCUUUCGGGGGGUACUCGAGUGGCGAACGGGUGAGUAACACGUGAGUAACCUGCCCUUGACUUUGGGAUAACUUCAGGAAACUGGGGCUAAUGCCGGAUAGGAGCUCCUGCUGCAUGGUGGGGGCUGGAAAGUUUCGGCGGUUGGGGAUGGACUCGCGGCUUAUCAGCUUGUUGGUGGGGUAGUGGCUUACCAAGGCUUUGACGGGUAGCCGGCCUGAGAGGGUGACCGGCCACAUUGGGACUGAGAUACGACCCAGACUCCUACGGGAGGCAGCAGUGGGGAAUAUUGCACAAUGGGUGGAAGCCUGAUGCAGCAACGCCGUGUGCGGGAUGACGGCCUUCGGGUUGUAAACCGCUUUCGCUCAUGACGAAGCUUUGUGUGACGGUAGUGGGUAAAGAAGCACCGGCUAACUACGUG